RNAcentral lists this ribosomal RNA (253 nucleotides) under uncultured bacterium. RNAcentral describes it as "partial 16S ribosomal RNA". It matches the Rfam family "Bacterial small subunit ribosomal RNA", at positions 524 to 776 of the family's 1533-position model. The record is from RNAcentral.
UACAGAGGUCCCGAGCGUUGUUCGGAUUCACUGGGCGUAAAGGGUGCGUAGGUGGCCUAGACAGUUUGAUGUGAAAGCUCAGGGCUUAACCCUGAAAUGGCAUUGAAUACUGCUGUGCUGGAGGUUUGGAGGGGGGACUGGAAUUCUUGGUGUAGCAGUGAAAUGCGUAGAUAUCAAGAGGAACACCAGUGGCGAAGGCGAGUCCCUGGACAACACCUGACACUGAGGCACGAAAGCUAGGGGAGCAAACAGG